RNAcentral lists this ribosomal RNA (717 nucleotides) under uncultured bacterium. Its description in RNAcentral is "bacterial SSU rRNA". It matches the Rfam family "Bacterial small subunit ribosomal RNA", at positions 83 to 817 of the family's 1533-position model. The record is from RNAcentral.
GAACUUAGCUUAGUGGCGGACGGGUGAGUAACGCGUGAGUAACCUGCCUUUCAGAGGGGGAUAACGUUCUGAAAAGAACGCUAAUGCCGCAUAAUAUAUUGGUGUCGCAUGGCACCGGUAUCAAAGGAGCAAUCCGCUGAAAGAUGGACUCGCGUCCGAUUAGCCAGUUGGCGGGGUAAAGGCCCACCAAAGCGACGAUCGGUAGCCGGGUUGAGAGACUGAACGGCCACAUUGGGACUGAGACACGGCCCAGACUCCUACGGGAGGCAGCAGUGGGGGAUAUUGCACAAUGGAGGAAACUCUGAUGCAGCAAUGCCGCGUGAGGGAAGACGGUCUUCGGAUUGUAAACCUCUGUCCUUGGUGAAGAUAAUGACGGUAGCCAAGGAGGAAGCUCCGGCUAACUACGUGCCAGCAGCCGCGGUAAUACGUAGGGAGCAAGCGUUGUCCGGAUUUACUGGGUGUAAAGGGUGCGUAGGCGGCUCUUUAAGUCGGGCGUGAAAGCUGUGGGCUUAACCCACAAAUUGCGUUCGAAACUGGAGGGCUUGAGUGAAGUAGAGGUAGGCGGAAUUCCCGGUGUAGCGGUGAAAUGCAUAGAGAUCGGGAGGAACACCAGUGGNGAGGGCGGCCUACUGGGCUUUAACUGACGCUGAGGCACGAAAGCAUGGGUAGCANCNGNAUUANAUACCCUGGNAGUCCAUGCCGUAAACGAUGACUACU